CGAGGAGCAGACUGCAAAGCGUCGUAAAAAGCGCCAGAAAUGAAAAGAGAAGGAAUUACUGGCAGAGAAGAUAAAACUUGAGCAGAAGAAUGAAGAAGAAGGGGUGGGUACGGGGACAGCAUCAACCGUGCUGCCAGUCCUGCUCACUGGAUCCAUCAGAGUCUUCCUGGAGCUAUAGGCUGAG
Molecule: long non-coding RNA, 184 nt
Organism: Sciurus carolinensis (gray squirrel)
Lineage: Eukaryota; Metazoa; Chordata; Mammalia; Rodentia; Sciuridae
Exons: 3
Source: RefSeq, a predicted model, not a curated record